Long non-coding RNA from Acinonyx jubatus (cheetah), 6169 nucleotides. RefSeq lists it as uncharacterized. The record is from RefSeq and is a predicted model, not a curated record. Lineage: Eukaryota; Metazoa; Chordata; Mammalia; Carnivora; Felidae. The transcript is spliced from 3 exons.
UUUAAAUCACAACACAGGAAGCUUCCGAGGACCAAUCACGCACAGCCUUUGCAACAGAUUACUACAGGCUAAUUCCCUACAGAGAACAGUCAGUCAGUUACCUUUUGCUUCCACAGGGCAUUGCCAGCUACCAACCAAGGAAAGAUGAGCUACUCCACUGGAUUGUUAAAGAGCCCCACCAUGGACCAUAAUUACUAAGGGGAUGAUGCAUAAACUCAGUUCUGCUUUCUGCUUCCGUAUCCAUGAAGCCCACCGAGUAAGUGGAGUUUGCCAUUAGCAGGGUCUCUAAGUACCCUUUUGGAUUGACUUCUUCCUCUUUGUGACUUGCCAGGAAGUGGUAAGAUCCUUUCAAUCGGAUGUUUGGGGACAGGUUAGGAAGAGUCAGAAGCUGGUCUUAGGCCCAAGCCUGAGGAGGGUGCACUGAUCCAGCUUAUCCAAAGUACUGUUUUAGGUUUUGGCUACAUGUAUAGUAAUCAGUUAAGUGUACUUGCUACAAUUAUGACCAAUUAGCCUUUGAGUGUGCAGCUCCAAUGGUGAGAAGGACCUGCUGGCCGGUCAAGAUUUAAGCAUUCUUGGAUCCCCUGGACAUACUGCCACCAAAUUACUGUCAAGAACCCCAUUCUUCAACGUAACAGGAAUUAUUAAAAAAUAAUUUGCUCCAUGAAUUACUACUUUUGUUUUAGGCUUUUCAUGUAAACAAUACUACAGUAACCUUCAGCAUGAUUACUCAAAAGAAUUGUAAAACGAAAUUCGCCUAUAUAUCCAAUCUUUUUACAUUUUUAAAGAAUUUAAAAUAACUUUUGUUAACCUGCACUUAUUUUUUUUUCUUUGUCUUCCAGUUGUAUGUCCAGUGGCAUAUGGGCUCUCAAGUUCACGUGCUCAUUUUUGAGUUGUUCCCCUUCAUCUGGCUCCAUCCUUACGAUCUUUAUGGUCUGGGCAUUUGGAAUAAUGUAACUCUCUGUAGUGAACAUAUUUCUCUUAUAUCUGGAUUUGCCAAUGUAGGGACUUUCAUCUGGGGUUUUAUCAAUUUCGACAUACUAAAAGCAAAAUAAGUAAAGAUUUAUGGUUUAAUAAGUAACUUCUAAGCAGCCAGGUAAAAAAUAUAUACUUUUUUUUUUUUAUCUUACCCUUAACAUACCAAAAAAGAACUAAAACAAAAAAUGGUCUCAAGGUGUUCCUCUUCCCAUCCCCAAAGAGUGGGUUUAGCUUGGUUGAUUAAAGAACUGCCUACAGGUAUGUGAUUAUUAGCAUUGCUUAAUCUCUCAAAUCAGAAAUUUCAGUGUUUUAUUUUGGUUUCUUAGCUGAUAUGUAAGUAAAACCCCACCUAAUAAAUGGUAAUAAUUGACUUUUUUAUGAAAUAAUAUUACGAUAUUCAUUGGAAUCACAGAUUCCCUUGGGGCUUUUUACCUUUUUUGGAGGCUGCUUUAACUUACUGAACCAAAAAUUCACUGUUUCAAGCAAAAUGUGUUUACUCUGAAAGUGGAAUGAUUACGGAUAAAGUCCUUUGAACAUUUCUUUCCACCAUCUGCCUCGCCCCACUCCACUCCCUGCUGGCUUUAACUGUGGAUUACUAAGAAGUUUAACUCACCUCUGAUGGAUAAUAAUUUAGUGGCUCAAAUUUGGCAUCAAUUUUAUAAAAGGCCAAUUCCUGUUCCAUCUCAUACUGUUUUUGACACGCUCGCAUUAGUUCCAUGGUCUUCUGUUUUAGCUAUUGGUCCAAUUUGAUAUGAAACAACAUACAGUGUCAGUAAGUUAGUAUACAAGUAUGAUGGUAUGGCAAGUUCUAAUCAUAGCUAAUAAUUAGAUUGUUUUAAACCUCGCAGCAAAUAGCAGAACACUCACAGCAUUUUGUUUUCAUUCUAAAGGAUAAUAAAGAAUGCAAUAUAAAAUUACCACUUCAUAAGAGAUCAUCACAUAAAAGACCUUUGAAGUUUAUAUGCUAUUUCAGGGUAUAAAGAUUUAAUGAAUAAAGAUUUAAAAACUCAUCUAAAUUUGCUUUAUCCAAAUGUGAAAAUAAUUCUGUAUCAAUUAUUUUUAUGUAAUCUAUUAAGUACCUGCUUCCAGACUUUCCAAUAAUUAACACUAAUUUAUUUAACUUACUCUACAAUUUUAAUAGCAGCUUCAAAUUAUGGAUGGAAAUGAUAUUUGGGAUUAAUUACAAAGGAAUCAGAAGAAGGAGUGAGAAGGAGGAAAUUAAGAGACUGGUUUUAAUUGUUGUACUGUUGUUGCUGUAGUAUCUCAGUGUUCUGAACAUUAUUCUUUGUAAUAGAGGAUAAAGGAUGUAAAUAAUGUCAAUCAGAUCCCAAUAUGUAAUAUUACAUUUUUAAUAAAAUAAUUCUACUAUAAUUACAGUUUACUUAUUCUUAGAAAUUUUUAGAGCUAGAAGAAAAGAGAUCAUCCAAUUUAAUUCUCUGAAAUACAAAUAAAGAAAUUGAGUCCUAGAUUGGUGAGCUGACUUGUCAAAAGUUACACAUGAGAUUAGUGGCAGAUGCUAAAUAUUUUAUUAACUACCACUACGAGCCCCCUUUCUACUAAACCAAUCCGGUGAGUUCAUUUCAAAGGUCCGCUAAGUGAUUUUUGUCUUUUUUAUUUUUUGACAGGGUCUGAUAGUAGUUACCAGACAAAAACAUGCAGAAAAACUUCAUUAAUAUAAAAAUGCAAGCUGAAGAGAAUAAGACAUAAACAGACAGGAACAUUUUACAAGGCCCAGGAAAUCAAAGUCGUGCAGGAUUUAGCUUACAGUCAUCUCCUGAUUAUCCAUCAAAAUGGAAGUAAGGCUAACCGGGAUAACAGGCUAAUUGACCUGCUACCUGAAGAAUUACUUUAUGAAACUGGAAAGCAUUAUACAACUAAAGAAAAUAUUAUCACCAAAUAGUCUGCAGAAGAGAAUAGAAAGUGUUUUUCAAAAGUAGGCUCUUAGAAUAAGAUCCAGAAUUCUUUUUGUAACAUAGUAUAGUCUUUUGGAAUAAUGAAAGAAGAACAGGCAAAUACAUAUGCAAUACUCAACUCUCCAACAGCUAAACAAAAGUGAAAUUAAAGCAAUGAGAUUCUACUUUUUUCCUAUCCUAUUUACACGUUCAAAAUAAUAAUAUCAAGUGGGGAAUUGGGCUCUUUCACUCACUGCUGUAGAAGUAUAAAGCUGUUAUAAGCUUUUAAUGUUUACUAAAAUUUAAGAUGCAAAUAACACAGUAAUUCCACUUGUGAUUUCUUUUAAUUUUUUUAAAAUUAAAGAAAGAGAGAGAAUGAGUGGGGGAGAUGGGCAGAGGGAGAAAGAGAGAGAAUCUCAGGCACACUUCACGCUCCGUGUGGAGCCCAAUGCUGUGCUUGAUCCCACAACCCUGGGAUCAUGAUCUGAACCAAAAUCAAGAGCCAGAUGUUCAACCAACUGAGCCACCUAGGUGCCCCUAAAUUUUUUCUUGAACUCAUAACCCCAAGACUCAGAGUCACAUGCUCUACCAACUGAGCCAGUCAAAUGCCCCAACUUGUAGUGAUUUAUACUAAGGAAUUACUAUUAUGAAUGCAUAGGAAUAUACACACAUGGAUUUUUCUCUGUAUUAUCGUUUCUAAUAAAAAAGUGGAAGCAAUCUAAAUAUUCAUCAAUAAGAGUAGGUUAAAUUAUGGAGUACCCAUAUAAUGGAACAUAAUACAGACUUUGAAAAAAUAGAUUUGUGUGUACGUGUGUAUGCACAUGUGGGUAUGUUUUUUAACUUGGAGAGCUAUGAUAUACAUUGUUUUGUAAAGAAUAAGAUGCAUAAUCAAAAAUACAGGAAGCUUCUUUUUUAUCACACAAUAUUUAGAGGUACAUAUAUUCAAUUACAUAUACAUUACAUAAUAUUUUAUAAGCAUAGAAAACAAAAAGAAUAUAUAUUAACAUCCAGGGAAUAGGGAAGAGAAAGAGUGAAACCUUCAUUGUCUACUGCAUACAUUUGUGUUGUCAAAAUUUGUUAUGAUAAAUAUAUAAUAACUUUGUAUGUAAAUAUGUUUUUAAAUGGUUAAUGGUAAAAAUAACAUCAUAAGAGCAAUGUCUUCUAGCCAAAAAUAGUGAACAAAAGCCCAGCAAAAACUGUUGACAAAUAACAAAACAUUUAUUCACAGCAAAACAUAAAAAAGAUCAGUAACUCAGGAAAAUUUAUUAAACGUUCAUAAAUAUCAAGUCAAAGUCAUACCAUAGUAAGUAUUGUUUUUUAUAUAUGUAUUUUAUUUUUAAGGUUUAUUUUUUAUUUUUAAGUAGGCUACAUGCCCAACGUGGGGCUUGAACUCAUGAACUCAAGAUCAAGAGUCAUGUGCUCUAUUGACUGAGCCAGGCAGGCGCCCCUAUAUUUGUUUUUUGUUUUUAAGUUUAUUUAUUUAUUUUGAGAAAGAGAGUGUAUGUGUGCAUGCUAAUGGGAGAGUGGCAGAGAAAGAGGGAGAGAGAAUCCCACGCAGGCUCCUUGCUGUCAGCAUAGAGCCCAAAACAGGGCUUGAACUCACAAACCGUGAGAUGAUGAAAUCAAGAGUCAGACACAACUGACUGAGAGACCCAGGUGCCCUAUAUUUGUAUUUUUUUUUAAUUUUUUUUUAACGUUUAUCUUUAUUUUUGAGACAGAGAAAGACAGAGCAUGAGUGGGGGAGAGGCAGACAGAGAGGGAGACACAGAAUCGGAAGCAGGCUCCAGGCUCUGAGCUGUCAGCACACAGCCCGACGCGAGGCUCGAACUCAUCAACUGAGAGAUUGUGACCUGAGCUGAAAUCGGACACUCAACCAACUGAGCCACCCAGGCGCCCCCCUAUAUUUGCAUUUUAAAUACAAAUGCUAAGUGGUGGCCCAAAGAGUGCACUGCUAAAAUAAAACUGAUCGUCACAAAAAUUUCCAAUGAUUAGUUUAGGCAUCGAUCCACUCUAUUAUGAAAUAGAGAGCAACAGAUAGGUGUAUAGUAUAAAAUUACUGGUAAUUAUCAGAUUACUAAUAUCACAUAUGUCUCUCGUGAUGUCCUCCUGGUAUAUAUCAUCUUAUCUUUUUUUCUUUUUUAAGAUUUUUCUAAAGUAAUCUCUACACCCAGCAUGGGGCUCAAACUCAUAACCCCAAAAUCAAGAAUCACAUGCUCUUCUGAAUGAGUCAGCCAGGUGCCCCUGUACCAUCUUUUUUCUCAGGCAAAGAAGAGCUCAAGAAGGAGGUAGUCAAGUAUUCAGAUUUCAAGAAAUAAUUUCCAUCUCUACACAGAGGAGGAAACACUUUUCUUACUAAAAACUUUAAGUGCAUAAGCAGAAUUCUUGUCAACAAAUCAAGUCAUUCAAGCCAGCAUGCCAAUCUUGAAAGGGGGGUGGUGCAAGAAAAAGAUAAAUGUGUCAAGGAUUCUACUAGUUAUAUGAGAAAUCAAAUACUCUAAGUUAUAAACAGAGCAGAAAAAAGAAUGGUCAAAAGAAAAAAAAAGCAAUAGCUAUUUUUUUAUAGAAUCAAAUUAUCUGGGUUGAAAAAGCCUUUAAAGGUCAUGUACUCUGGGGUGCCUGGGUGGCUCAGUCGGUUAAGCGGCCAACUCUUGAUUUCAGCUUAGGUCAUGAACUUAUGAUCAGAAGGUGCCAGACCCAGAGACUUCAGAGGCCUUGAGUCCAUGUUCCGUGAAGAAUGGCCAAAGCAACAGGGGUGUCCAAGCUGGAGAAGAGGAGAUCUAGUGAGCAAUGAAAAUUAUCUUCGAGAGUCAGAGGACUGUUUUAUGGAAGAGGGACUAAAGUUACUGACCCAGGUGCCAGAGAAAAAUUUAAGAAAUGGCAAAUAGAAUUAUAAGAAAACAGUUUUUCAUCUGGUAAUAAAGAAGAAAUUUCUAAUAGCUGUCCUGAGAUAAAAUGUGGUAACUCUGGAAUGUGAUUGCUAUCACUACAACAGGCAUAUAUGCUUAGGUUUUAGAGAAAAGAGAAAAAACAUUAGAUAGGGAGAUGGACUAAAUGACCUUUAUUUUUUUGUUGGUUUUUGUUUGUUUGUUUAAAGUUUAUUUUGAGAGAGAGAGAGUUGGGGAGGGGCCGAGAGAGAAUCCUAAGCAGGCUCCACCCUUGGCCAGAGCCCAAUGCAAGGCUUGAUCUCAUGAACCAUGAGAUCAUGACCUGAGCCGAAUCAAGAGUUGGACUCUCAACUGACUGAGCCACCCAGGUGCCCUAUAAGGCUGUCUAAAUCUAAUCUGUCUAAAUCUCUUUUAAAA